This 250-nucleotide unclassified non-coding RNA is filed under the name Hevea brasiliensis (rubber tree). Lineage: Eukaryota; Viridiplantae; Streptophyta; Magnoliopsida; Malpighiales; Euphorbiaceae. The record is from RNAcentral.
AAGGCCACUUCAAGUCUUCUACCCAUCGCCAUAUGAGAACUAUUUUGUUAUUGGAUGUUUCUUCCAAUUUUUCCAGAAGCAAGCAAAGCAUUACGUGUCAUAAUAUGAACUAUUGAAUAAGCAAAUCUCAAUUGGAAGACUCAAAUCAUUAAAUCGAUAAUCAAUUGGCCUUUAGCAAAAGGAUUGCCUUAAAUUCUUACUUACAAUCUGUAGCAGUUAGGCAAAUAUGAGACUCUAUUUUAAAAUCCAA